This 496-nucleotide ribosomal RNA is filed under the name uncultured bacterium. RNAcentral's name for it is "partial 16S ribosomal RNA". It matches the Rfam family "Bacterial small subunit ribosomal RNA", at positions 29 to 507 of the family's 1533-position model. The record is from RNAcentral.
AUGCACGCUGGCGGCGUGCCUCAUACAUGCCAGUCGAGCGAACAGACGAGGAGCUUGCUCCUCUGAUGUUAGCGGCGGACGGGUGAGUAACACGUGGAUAACCUACCUAUAAGACUGGGAUAACUUCGGGAAACCGGAGCUAAUACCGGAUAACAUGUUGAACCGCAUGGUUCAACAGUGAAAGACGGUCUUGCUGUCACUUAUAGAUGGAUCCGCGCCGCAUUAGCUAGUUGGUAAGGUAACGGCUUACCAAGGCAACGAUGCGUAGCCGACCUGAGAGGGUGAUCGGCCACACUGGAACUGAGACACGGUCCAGACUCCUACGGGAGGCAGCAGUAGGGAAUCUUCCGCAAUGGGCGAAAGCCUGACGGAGCAACGCCGCGUGAGUGAAGAAGGUCUUCGGAUCGUAAAACUCUGUUAUUAGGGAAGAACAAAUGUGUAAGUAACUAUGCACGUCUUGACGGUACCUAAUCAGAAAGCCACGGCUAACUACGUG